AGUGAACGCUGGCGGUAGGCCUAACACAUGCAAGUCGAACGGCAGCACAGUAAGAGCUUGCUCUUACGGGUGGCGAGUGGCGGACGGGUGAGGAAUACAUCGGAAUCUACUUUUUCGUGGGGGAGAACGUAGGGAAACUUACGCUAUUACCGCAUACGACCUACGGGUGAAAGCAGGGGAUCUUCGGACCUUGCGCGAUUGAAUGAGCCGAUGUCGGAUUAGCUAGUUGGCGGGGUAAAGGCCCACCAAGGCGACGAUCCGUAGCUGGUCUGAGAGGAUGAUCAGCCACACUGGAACUGAGACACGGUCCAGACUCCUACGGGAGGCAGCAGUGGGGAAUAUUGGACAAAGGGCGCAAGCCUGAUCCAGCCAUACCGCGUGGGUGAAGAAGGCCUUCGGGUUGUAAAGCCCUUUUGUUGGGAAAGAAAAGCAGCAGGUUAAUACCCCGCUGUUCUGACGGUACCCAAAGAAUAAGCACCGGCUAACUUCGUG
RNAcentral lists this ribosomal RNA (492 nucleotides) under uncultured bacterium. RNAcentral describes it as "partial 16S ribosomal RNA". It matches the Rfam family "Bacterial small subunit ribosomal RNA", at positions 29 to 507 of the family's 1533-position model. The record is from RNAcentral.